AGAGUUUGAUCCUGGCUCAGAAUCAACGCUGGCGGCGUGCCUAACACAUGCAAGUCGAACGAGAAAGGGUAGCAAUACCUGAGUAAAGUGGCGCACGGGUGAGUAACACGUGACUAACCUACCCUGGAGUGGGGGAUAACUGAGGGAAACCUUAGCUAAUACCGCAUAAUACCCACGGGUCAAAGGAGCAAUUCGCUUCAGGAGGGGGUCGCGGCCGAUUAGUUAGUUGGCGGGGUAAUGGCCCACCAAGACAGUGAUCGGUAUCCGGCCUGAGAGGGCGCACGGACACACUGGAACUGAAACACGGUCCAGACUCCUACGGGAGGCAGCAGUGGGGAAUUUUGCGCAAUGGGGGAAACCCUGACGCAGCAACGCCGCGUGGAGGAUGAAGUACUUCGGUACGUAAACUCCUUUCGAUCGGGACGAUAAUGACGGUACCGGAAGAAGAAGCCCCGGCUAACUUCGUGCCAGCAGCCGCGGUAAUACGAGGGGGGCAAGCGUUGUUCGGAAUUAUUGGGCGUAAAGGGUGCGUAGGCGGUUUGGUAAGUCUGAUGUGAAAUCUAUGGGCUCAACUCAUAGACUGCAUCGGAAACUGCCGGGCUUGAGUAUGGGAGAGGUGAGUGGAAUUUCCGGUGUAGCGGUGAAAUGCGUAGAUAUCGGAAGGAACACCUGUGGCGAAAGCGGCUCACUGGACCAUAACUGACGCUGAUGCACGAAAGCUAGGGGAGCAAACAGGAUUAGAUACCCUAGUAGUCC
This 756-nucleotide ribosomal RNA is filed under the name uncultured bacterium. RNAcentral's name for it is "bacterial SSU rRNA". It matches the Rfam family "Bacterial small subunit ribosomal RNA", at positions 8 to 796 of the family's 1533-position model. The record is from RNAcentral.